Long non-coding RNA from Mesocricetus auratus (golden hamster), 2670 nucleotides. RefSeq lists it as uncharacterized. The transcript is spliced from 3 exons. The record is from RefSeq and is a predicted model, not a curated record. NCBI's taxonomy places the organism in Eukaryota, Metazoa, Chordata, Mammalia, Rodentia, Cricetidae.
GGGAGGCAAGACGCUGGAAGACUGGUAAAGCCACAAACCACGUGGCAAGAUACAGAUGAAUAGAAAUGGGUUAAUUUAAGUUGUAGGAGCUGGUUAGUCAUAAGCCUGAGCUAUAAGCUGAGCGUUCUGGAGCUCAUAUAAGCUUUUGCGUGUUUAUUUGGGACCGGGUGAUCAGAACUAAAGAAAAGCUCCACCUCUGUUUCCAUAUGGCCCUCCAACAUGGUGCACGGAUGUCCACAUAAAGCCUGCAAAAGCUUUAAAGACCUCAGCCACGUGACUGGCAGCGUAAUCACAAAUGGAAACACAUCUACCACCUGGGGAUCUGUUUCUGGAUGCAAAACCAUGAAACUCCAUACCCAGCGAGCAUCUGGGCCCCACUGAAGCUCUGGGUACUGAUAACUACUCCAGUUUCCAAGACUAAAUAACUGAUGCAGGAGCAUAGUGGCCCAAUGUUCAGCCAUAAAUUGAAGACAAUAAUCAGAUAUCCAUGUCAUUCCUUCCAAAGCUCUAUAAACACCACAGAAGAGGAUGUGGAAAGAAGAUAAGAAUGAGAAGAGAAGUGAACUAUCGUGCAGUUGUUUCCACCAAAUGGAAUCAUUUCUUCCUUGAGAGAAAAGGAAGCAGUUUAGGACUCUGGAAGUAAACCAAUUCACAAGGCCCAGGAAGUUCCUGAAACUUGCAAGAAACACAAGAUCCCUCCUUAAAAUUAUAAAAAUGGUGACUGUUGUUGCAGAAAGAGACUGAAGUUGAAUAAAUGACUGCAAGUUAGUCAGAGCUCCAAGAUACACCCUUGAUGAGUAAUCACCCAUACUGGCUUGGGUUGUUGGCUCAUGAAACUGCCUUUAAAUCACCAAUGCUCCUGUAAGUAACCCUUACAAAUGCCCUUGUAAGUAGCUACAAUAAGCAUACAAGUUCACUAGGCUAGACAUAGAUGGAACCAUUUCUUUGGUCUGUAAUUAGAUACCUAUCUGUGGUGAAUAGAUGUUUUUUGCAUAGCUCUGUAGGGCAAGUCAUGUAACAGGGUCAUUUUUCCUUUCCUAUGGUCAAAAUGUCAUUUUCAAAUGUUAAUAGCAGGCCUCUCAGGGGUUGCAGAGAUGUCUCAGUGGUUAAGAGGAUAAACAUCCAUGUUAGAUGGUUCACAAUUACCUGUAACUCCAGUCCUAGAGGAUCUUAUGCCCUUUUGUGACCUCCACACACUCAAUACACACAUACACACACACACAAACACACAAAUAAAAAUAAAAUCUUAAAAAAAAACAGGUCUUCUAUAGAAUGUGUACACAUCAAAGAGCUGUACAUCAAUUGAUGAGGAAGAAGCAAAAUAUAAUACUUCUUCAAAGAAUCUAGCAUGCACAGAGAUAUUGACAGCCAGAAAACAGUAGUAAUGAAGUAAGAAACAAAACUAAUUAGUGAUCUGGUCAAUAAAAGUAUAACCUUUGAAAAGUAUGAUUUCUUGAGUGAAAUAUUCUUUGUAUGAAACAAAAUAAUUGCAUUGUAGUCCAAUAAGAAUAACAAUUUAUAAAAUCUAAUCAGUAGUAAACAGUGAUUCUAAUACUUAUAUAUGCCUCCAGAAAUGAGCUCAUCCUUGGGUGGACCGUAGAGAUGCUGUUCCAGGCUAACACCCACAAGGCAUGUGGUCAUUCUGUUUCUUACUUCCAAGUUGUUGGUCUUUUCCCCCUAAUGCUAUAAUAAACAAAUGGUCUCAAGCACCAACUCACAGAAGUCCAUUCCACUUCACUGUUCAGAGGACUCUUAGAUUCCUUCCGUCUUUACUCUGCUUCUCCGCCUAUGUUGGUUAAUGUUAUGUACCUACCUGGCCAAUUUCUGGCAACCAUGAAUCUAGGUGCUUGUGGAAAAGUACUUUGUGAAUGUGCUUAAACUUCCCAGCCAGUAGACAUCAACAGCCUAAAGGACUGGAAAGUCUUCAGGCCCUGAGAGCAGAACUGAAAUUCCUUGGAGGGAGAAGUAAAUCUGCCUUAAGUCACAGCACCAGCUCCAGAUGGAGCCUGCAGCCUGCUGGCCGUCCCAAUAGAUUUCAGACUUUCUGGCUCCCUCAGACACAUGCACCAAUUCCCGGAAAUAAAUCUCCAAAGACAACCCCCCCACUAGUUCUAUUUCUAUCCAGAGAGCUUGACUAAUGUACUGCUCUUGUGAAUACUAUACCCCUCCCUCCAGCCAGCCCUCUGCUUCCAGUGGUACAGUCCUCAUGCUGGGCACCAUUUCACCUCAGUGACCCAUUGGUGGUGUCUCUAACCUUAAAAGAUGUCUGGUGACAAGGGAGGCUAAUACAGCAGAGUAGGGAAGGGACUCCUAGAUAUUGUUGUUGCUGUUGACUUCUCCUAACACUACUCAUAAUUUCCUUGAUUCUAACUAAACUGCUACCAUAUUAGAUCCAUCUUCUCCUCACCUCUGUACCACAGCACUUUCUUUGGAUCUCAGACAUUUGAUCUUCAAUCUCAUUUAACUGCCAAAAGGAAGCUUAAAAUAGCCACCACUCAAUGAUACAAAGAAUAUGAAUUUCAUGGGGAGAAGUAUUUUUAUCUGUUGUACUUCCUGAUAAUACCAAGAAUGAUGGCAGGCAGUAAGGUAGUCAGUACACAUUUGUUGACUGGAUAAAUGGAGUUAAUGACAAGAAUACAAAGCCUUCUUUUCUCAAUGACUUUGAUUCCA